Cebus imitator (Panamanian white-faced capuchin) is the source of this 107-nucleotide small nuclear RNA. NCBI's taxonomy places the organism in Eukaryota, Metazoa, Chordata, Mammalia, Primates, Cebidae. The record is from Ensembl.
GUGUUCGCUUCGUCAGCAAAAGUACUACAAUUGAAACAAUAUAGAGAUUAGCACAGCCCCUUGUGUGAGGAUGACAAUCAGAUUAUCUUAAAUAGAAAACAGGACAU